GAUGAACGCUGGCGGCGUGCCUAAUACAUGCAAGUCGAGCGAACAGACGAGGAGCUUGCUCCUCUGACGUUAGCGGCGGACGGGUGAGUAACACGUGGAUAACCUACCUAUAAGACUGGAUAACUUCGGGAAACCGGAGCUAAUACCGGAUAAUAUAUUGAACCGCAUGGUUCAAUAGUGAAAGACGGUUUUGCUGUCACUUAUAGAUGGAUCCGCGCCGCAUUAGCUAGUUGGUAAGGUAACGGCUUACAAAGGCAACGAUGCGUAGCCGACCUGAGAGGGUGAUCGGCCACACUGGAACUGAGACACGGUCCAGACUCCUACGGGAGGCAGCAGUAGGGAAUCUUCCGCAAUGGGCGAAAGCCUGACGGAGCAACGCCGCGUGAGUGAUGAAGGUCUUCGGAUCGUAAAACUCUGUUAUUAGGGAAGAACAAAUGUGUAAGUAACUAUGCACGUCUUGACGGUACCUAAUCAGAAAGCCACGGCUAACUACGUGCCAGCAGCCGCCGUAA
RNAcentral lists this ribosomal RNA (512 nucleotides) under uncultured bacterium. RNAcentral describes it as "partial 16S ribosomal RNA". It matches the Rfam family "Bacterial small subunit ribosomal RNA", at positions 28 to 523 of the family's 1533-position model. The record is from RNAcentral.